RNAcentral lists this ribosomal RNA (485 nucleotides) under uncultured bacterium. RNAcentral describes it as "bacterial SSU rRNA". It matches the Rfam family "Bacterial small subunit ribosomal RNA", at positions 28 to 502 of the family's 1533-position model. The record is from RNAcentral.
GAUGAACGCUAGCGACAGGCUUAACACAUGCAAGUCGAGGGGCAGCAUGGACAUAGCUUGCUAUGUUUGAUGGCGACCGGCGCACGGGUGCGUAACACGUAUCCAAUCUGCCCGUUACUCGGGGAUAGCCUUCUGAAAGGAAGAUUAAUACCCGAUGGCAUGUAUUUCCGGCAUCGGAGAUACAUUAAAGAUUUAUCGGUAACGGAUGAGGAUGCGUACGAUUAGCUAGUUGGCGGGGUAACGGCCCACCAAGGCGACGAUCGUUAGGGGUUCUGAGAGGAAGGUCCCCCACACUGGAACUGAGACACGGUCCAGACUCCUACGGGAGGCAGCAGUGAGGAAUAUUGGUCAAUGGUCGGAAGACUGAACCAGCCAAGUAGCGUGAAGGAUGACUGCCCUACGGGUUGUAAACUUCUUUUGUUUGGGAAUAAAAGACGCUACGUGUAGCGUUCUGCAUGUACCUUACGAAUAAGCAUCGGCUAAUU